RNAcentral lists this long non-coding RNA (185 nucleotides) under Rhinopithecus roxellana (golden snub-nosed monkey). RNAcentral's name for it is "lncRNA (ENSRROG00000046054.1)". Lineage: Eukaryota; Metazoa; Chordata; Mammalia; Primates; Cercopithecidae. The record is from RNAcentral.
AAACGUGCCAAACCAGGCAGGCUUUGGUACAAUUCUGGCAUGAAGUCACAUUUUAAGAAAUCUCAGGAUGGCGCACACAGAUGCCUUCAGAGACCACCCCGUCCCAGACAUGUUAUUAGAAUGAGACCUUCUAUGAGAGCUUUCAGCAGAAAAGCAGGCAACCAAACGUCUAAUCCAUGAAGCAG